RNAcentral lists this transfer RNA (73 nucleotides) under Camelus bactrianus (Bactrian camel). It matches the Rfam family "tRNA". From Rfam's summary of the family: Transfer RNA (tRNA) molecules are approximately 80 nucleotides in length. Their secondary structure includes four short double-helical elements and three loops (D, anti-codon, and T loops). Further hydrogen bonds mediate the characteristic L-shaped molecular structure. tRNAs have two regions of fundamental functional importance: the anti-codon, which is responsible for specific mRNA codon recognition, and the 3' end, to which the tRNAs corresponding amino acid is attached (by aminoacyl-tRNA synthetases). tRNAs cope with the degeneracy of the genetic code in two manners: having more than one tRNA (with a specific anti-codon) for a particular amino acid; and 'wobble' base-pairing, i.e. permitting non-standard base-pairing at the 3rd anti-codon position. The record is from Rfam by way of RNAcentral. RNAcentral also lists the same sequence under 1 other name. Lineage: Eukaryota; Metazoa; Chordata; Mammalia; Artiodactyla; Camelidae.
GAAGGUAGAGCUCAAGUGGUAGAGCGCGUGCUUAGCACACACAAGGUCCUGGGUUCAAUCCCCAGUGCCUCCU